Molecule: ribosomal RNA, 337 nt
Filed under: uncultured bacterium
Lineage: Bacteria
Description: bacterial SSU rRNA
Rfam family: Bacterial small subunit ribosomal RNA
Source: RNAcentral
GAUGAACGCUAGCGACAGGCUUAACACAUGCAAGUCGAGGGGCAGCGAGGGCGUAGCAAUACGCCUGUCGGCGACCGGCGCACUGGUGAGUAACACGUAUGCGACCUGCCCCCUACAGGGGUAUAACCCCGUAGAAAUGCGGACUAAUCCCCCAUAGUCCUGGGUGCUGCAUGGCAUUCAGGGGAAAGGCCAGCCGGUAGGGAUGGGCAUGCGGCGCAUUAGCUAGUUGGCGGGGCAACGGCCCACCAAGGCGACGAUGCGUAGGGGUUCUGAGAGGAAGGUCCCCCACACUGGUACUGAGACACGGACCAGACUCCUACGGGAGGCAGCAGUGAGG